Molecule: unclassified non-coding RNA, 378 nt
Filed under: plant metagenome
Description: partial contains 5.8S ribosomal RNA, internal transcribed spacer 2, and large subunit ribosomal RNA
Rfam family: 5.8S ribosomal RNA (bases 1-105)
Source: RNAcentral
GAAAUGCGAUAAGUAAUGUGAAUUGCAGAAUUCAGUGAAUCAUCGAAUCUUUGAACGCACCUUGCGCUCCUUGGUAUUCCUUGGAGCAUGCCUGUUUGAGUAUAAUGAAAUCUUCAAAGUAAAUCUUUUGUUAACUCAAUUGGUUUCUACUUUGGUAUUGGAGGUCUUUGCAGCUUCACACCUGCUCCUCUUUGUUCAUUAGCUGGAUCUCAGUGUUAUGCUUGGUUCCACUCGGCGUGAUAAGUUAUCUAUCGCUGAGGACACUGUAAAAGGUGGCCAAGAUAAAUGCAGAUGAACCGCUUCUAAUAGUCCAUUGACUUGGACAAUACUUUUAUGAUCUGAUCUCAAAUCAGGUAGGACUACCCGCUGAACUUAAGC